GACGAACGCUGGCGGCGUGCUUAACACAUGCAAGUCGAACGGAAAGGUCCUGCCUUUGUUGGGUGCUCGAGUGGCGAACGGGUGAGUAACACGUGAGUAACCUUCCCUUGACUUUGGGAUAACUUCAGGAAACUGGGGCUAAUACCGGCUAGGAGCUCCUGCUGCUUGGUGGGGGUUGGAAAGUUUCGGAGGUUGGGGAUGGACUCGCGGCCUAUCAGCUUGUUGGUGGGGUAGUGGCUUACCAAGGCUUUGACGGGUAGCCGGCCUGAGAGGGUGACCGGGCACAUUUGGACAGGGGAACGGCCCAGAGUGCUACGGGGGGAAUGGGUGGGGGAUUGUGCAAGAAGGGCGGAAGGCGUAAGCAGCAACGCCGGAUGGGGGAUGACGGCCUUCGGGGUGGAAACCGCUUGCGCCUGUGACGAAGCGUGAGUGACGGUAAUGGGUAAGGAAGCACCGGCUAACUACGUG
RNAcentral lists this ribosomal RNA (468 nucleotides) under uncultured bacterium. Its description in RNAcentral is "partial 16S ribosomal RNA". It matches the Rfam family "Bacterial small subunit ribosomal RNA", at positions 28 to 507 of the family's 1533-position model. The record is from RNAcentral.